AAAGCCCAAUGGCUUCAUGUGCUUUCUGUGCACGGUCUGCAUUUGGUGAUUCACAUUCCUUGGCAAUGGAAUGCAAACAGGUGGUAAAUUCCAUCCAAUAUAACAAUACAACAUUGAGGCUGAUAACAAACAAGUACCAUGAGGGAAAUAUGAAAAGGACUUUGGAAAGAGAAUUAAAAGAGUUUGCAUUUGCUUGGCAUAAAACAAAUUAAUGUUGUCAUGGCCAAAAGAUUGUUGCAUUUCUGGGUGUGUGCCAACAUUGCUCAGCAAGUGUAAUGCUUCUUUCCCCCCACAAAGCUGUUGCAUUCAUGGAUCAUUCUUGUUUGGUGCUGGCAAUAUGUGUUGCAUAGUGGUGCUCUGUUUGCAUUUCUGAUUUCUGAUGUUAUGCGCACGCCUUUUGAAGCUGGACAGACAUGGCUGGGUGGUUUGUGUAUCUUCUUGGAGGAGUGGCUUGUGUGCUGACAAAGAAGGUUGCUUGACCCGUCUUGAAACACGGACCAAGGAGUCUAACAGACGUGCAAAAGAAUGAUUUAAAAUGUGGCAAAACUGAAAGGAAGAGUUAGCAUGUGUGCUCCAACGGCCAAAUGCUUGGUAGACACGCAUUUGAAUUUGAGCAUGUUUGUUAGGACCCGAAAGAUGGUGAACUAUGCUUGAUCAGAAUGAAUUCAGAGGAAACUCUGACGGAAGUUCGUAUCGAUACUGACG
RNAcentral lists this ribosomal RNA (705 nucleotides) under Coolia tropicalis. Its description in RNAcentral is "partial large subunit ribosomal RNA". It matches the Rfam family "Eukaryotic large subunit ribosomal RNA", at positions 215 to 891 of the family's 3401-position model. The record is from RNAcentral. Lineage: Eukaryota; Dinophyceae; Peridiniales; Ostreopsidaceae.